GUGCCAGCCGCCGCGGUAAUACAGAGGGGGCAAGCGUUAUUCGGAAUUAUUGGGCGUAAAGGGCGCGUAGGCGGCAUGGCAAGUGGAAGGUGAAAUCCCUCGGCUCAACUGAGGAACUGCCUUCCAAACUGCUCUGCUUGAGUCCGGGAGAGGCGAGUGGAAUUCCCAGUGUAGCGGUGAAAUGCGUAGAUAUUGGGAGGAACACCAGUGGCGAAGGCGGCUCGCUGGACCGGUACUGACGCUGAGGCGCGAAAGCGUGGGGAGCAAACGGGAUUAGAUACCCGCGUAGUCC
Molecule: ribosomal RNA, 292 nt
Filed under: uncultured bacterium
Lineage: Bacteria
Description: partial 16S ribosomal RNA
Rfam family: Bacterial small subunit ribosomal RNA
Source: RNAcentral